Molecule: ribosomal RNA, 91 nt
Filed under: Tryblionella compressa
Lineage: Eukaryota; Bacillariophyta; Bacillariophyceae; Bacillariales; Bacillariaceae
Description: partial Trypanosomatid mitochondrial large subunit ribosomal RNA
Source: RNAcentral
ACAACAAAACAAAACAAAACAAAACAAAACAACGAAAAACAAAAACAAAAUGCAACAACAACGCAAGUCUUCGUUUCCCUUUGCUACCAGA